AGGCGCAGCAGCCGAAACCUGUGGCUCUGCAAAACAGGGGUAACAACUGGGCGUGAGUACUAUAAAAACAAGUAGUCCUCAGUGGGUGCCGCCCAAAACAACAUCAGUCCACCCACUAAGUCUACAGAAGGGAGCAAGAAUAGUAGUAAAUGCAGGAAUAAAGUCUACCGUUAUCAAACACUACACUAUCAUGCUCUCUAACCAACUGUAAAAAUGUCCAAUCUGACCCAAUCCAAUCGGGACUGUAAGCAUACCCGUCCCCGGGACUCUGAAUACACCCGUCCCUGCCCUGUUGCGACUAUCGGGCUCUAUCCACACUAACUGGUCCGUGGAGAGCAAGUCCAACUGGCAUGAGCGACACCAACGCGAAAGCACAAAGCCUGACUCCGGAGUGGCACUCGUGGGCGCUACCCAACCGAGUAUGCAGCGUAUCUCUGUCGAGCUCAAACAGGCUCUGAAAAGCCAAAGUUAAGUAACCAACUCAAACUGGUCUACCCACCAACAGGUAAUGUGCCCUCGGCACAAUCUGACGCCAAAAAGGCGAUAUGGGUCCACCGUCAACUCUGACGGCACCCACCAGUCUGGAACAACCUGACCGAUCCUGUAAAAAUUCACUCGGCGCACCAGCACGAGCGUAAAUGUAAUCUAAACUACCUGGAGUACUCGUUUCGAAGAUACUGCGACAGUACAAUUUAAUAACGGCUCCUAGAGCUAAAUCAGGCAGUUUAAACAAGUGACAGGUCCAAAUCGCAGGUUUUCUCCUAAUUCAAUUUCCAAGUCCAACAUGUAUAACCUACUUAAUUUAUUACCACAUGCUCCAAAUUCAGAUUUGCAAUCUACAAUAUAAUUCAUGAAUUCGAGCUAGAAUAGAGUAUCCAAAGGUCGAAAAUUAUACAUGCCGACGAAUAUGAACUUAGGAGUAAAAACCGAUGUAACCCACCUCUCAAGCAACUCCUGGCAGUGAAGAAAGCGUUAAAUCCGACCAAGCUAACCUUAUCCAAAUUCAGCAAACAAGGGUCCUGAAGCUUCGUCUCGAAGUCAUGAAUCCAAUGGCCCAGCUUUCGCUGAAUUCCGACACUCCUACGCAGAGAACGGGCCAGAAUACGAAACGUCGACGCUGGAACCUGCGAAACAGCAUCUCUGAAAUCUGCUCGGCAAACAGCAGCCUAGUAAAACUAGGGUUCGACAGGGCAAACCUGCUCCAAAAAUCGCGAUCUUGGGCUCAGAAUCUUCGUCUCGAAGUCUCGGUUCCAACGAAUCAAAUCUCGUCGAAAUCCGAUGCUCAUACGUCGCGUACGAACUGAAAUACUAACAGUCGACGACAAGAUCCUGCGAAUCAGCACUUAAGCUCGAAUUGAAUGAAGCUUGAAGUAGAGAAGAAAUCCAUGGAGGAAUGAGAGAUUACCCACCUCAACCAGCGACUCCAAUUCCGGCACGGCGUCGAGAACGACGAAAACACU
Molecule: long non-coding RNA, 1460 nt
Filed under: Ananas comosus (pineapple)
Lineage: Eukaryota; Viridiplantae; Streptophyta; Magnoliopsida; Poales; Bromeliaceae
Description: long non-coding RNA (ACOM_LNC034907)
Source: RNAcentral